UCCAUGAUAUGUGUUGGAAGAUAAAUAGGUUCCUAUUCUUCCAUAUACGCCAAGUGACUAAUCCAAACCAGCAGGACCAAAUAAGACCACAAUCCUGAAAUCUUUCAUGAAAACAAAGGUUAAGAGUAAGCCAAUCCUGAAAAAAGACAGAGAAAAACCUUUGUUUUAAUUGAUCUAGAAUCACAAGCCUCUACACAUCUUUCGCGGGAG
Molecule: long non-coding RNA, 210 nt
Filed under: Gossypium barbadense (sea-island cotton)
Lineage: Eukaryota; Viridiplantae; Streptophyta; Magnoliopsida; Malvales; Malvaceae
Description: long non-coding RNA (GBAR_LNC020018)
Source: RNAcentral